Long non-coding RNA from Felis catus (domestic cat), 3637 nucleotides. RefSeq lists it as uncharacterized. The transcript is spliced from 2 exons. The record is from RefSeq and is a predicted model, not a curated record. NCBI's taxonomy places the organism in Eukaryota, Metazoa, Chordata, Mammalia, Carnivora, Felidae.
UCCUUCAUAAAUAAAUAAAUAAAUAAAUAAAUAAAUAAAUAAAUAAAAGGAAGAAAGUUCCAGAACUAAGUCUGGGGGAUGGAGAAGGACAUGGAAGCUUUGAGGUUGUAACUGGUGCUUUUCAACAGAAUCAUAAAAUCCAGCUUAUGUGCUAGAGUCAAAUCUAGGUACUUAGAACUUCUGUCAUUUUCCAUCAUACUCCCCUCUUCCUUGUCCACACUGAGAAAUGCCCUCAGUCACCCCUCCUAGCUUUUCAGGUCCAUCUUCAAGGUACAGUGUAAAUAUUGUCUCAUUAUUACUCUUUCUUUGCAACCCAGAUAGAUAGGCUCUCGGAGACCAAGAUGCUCUGUAUUCCUAGAAAUGUAAAGACAGAUGAUAAAUUCAGAAGGGAUGUUUGAUGGUCUAAAAAUGAUCUUAUAUCAGACUUUCAGAUAUGCCUUGGCAGCAUCAGGACAGGAGGGAGACUUGCCUGGCAAUUUAAUAUAUUUACUGGGUAAAUAGUAAGCACUUGCAGUCUCUGUGACUUAAUCAGAAUGAAGUUCAUUACAAUAAGUAGCUGUGCCCUUUGGUCCUAUUCGUACUGAGCAGGCUUCCAAUUUCAUUCACAUCUCCAAAGGAAAUUGUAGGCUACAAGCUGGCCAAGGAGUGCCAGGGAGGACACUUAGCAAGGAUAUUCCCCAGAGCAGAUAAAGGGGACAGGAGGUGGUGGGCUGAUUAGAGCAGAGAGAACAAGAUGCCCUUCUUAUCAAUUCCAAUCUGUGAAAGUAAUUUUACUUUCUUAUUUUUAACUUGAGGUUUGCAUCAGUGUCUCUCUCUCCCUUUCUGGGUUUUGAAAACAUAUUAUCGGGUCAUCUAAACCUUUUAUGCAACAUUUCAGACUUGUAUGUGCAUGAGCUGGUGAAGAUUUAUUAUAUUUGACACCAUAACUAAAGAUUUUAAGGCAUUCUUUUAAGCACAACUUGACUGAAACCCCUGAGGCUAGAUCCCUAUCUCUUGCCAGAUAUUAACUUGGCUUCACUGGUGGGAGCUCAGGGUAAGGUUACAACUGUUUCUGGAGACAUUAUUUGUGCCUCCGAACGUUUAACUCCAUCAGUGUAUUACUUUCAUAUAUGAAGAAAUCUGAGAUUUUCAGAUCAGAAUUCUCCCCCACUCCAUCCACCCCCAUCUCUGUCCUCAAUUUAUUUCUAUUUCUUUUGGAGAAGUCAAGUGCCCCCCUCCUCGUUUCGAAUUAAAAUAGGCAAAGAGAAAAGCGUGAGAUUCGAUGAGUCCAUGAAUACAAGUACCAACCCCUAUCCUUUGGGAUCCUUUGGUAUUUGUUCAAGGUACAAGCAAUCUGGGCAUCUCUGGGUAGGAAUACGGAUAAAUGAUGUCAUUCAACAGAAUUAGGACCAGACGGGAAACCGUAGCCAAAUCCUGCAGGGGGUAGCACUGAAUCCUGGCAUUAGGUACGGAAGGCCCUGACUGCUCUGGGAGGGUGAACAAGUGUAACUGUGAAGGCAACACAGUCUCCGGGAUGAGGCUGAGAGGGGAAUACUUUUGAGCUGUGAAGUGGGGGAGGGUCGGGGAUGUAACUCCAAAUAUUGGGCCGUGACAGCCGCCAGGCCUGAGGGCCGUGACUCUCACAAUGGACUUGGUCACAAAGGGCCUAUGUCAUCUUGAGGCUGUAUAAUCGGUAAAUGCAAGCUGCACGUUGAGCACGUUUUCUCCUGGAUCUCAUCCUUGGCGACGGAUCCAGACCUCAGCCUCCAGGAUCUGUUUGAGAAAUAAACAAAUGGGAGACAAACAACCAAAACAGCAACACGGUAGAGCUGGCGCGGGCGACGAAGCUCCGCCUUUGGAAGACUCGGCCAAUCAGAAGCCUGUUGCUGGGGCCUGGUGUUUGGCCGCCUGACGUUCCCAUGGAGACGGAGGAACGUUACACACUAAACACUGGGCGACGUUGACGUCUAUGCAUUAUAUCCAUGGAGACGACUGAGUAAACGUCAUCCCCGCACUUCCCCGCCCUCCCGCCGCGCCAGGGGCGGAGGGAGCGACGCAGACGUUGCGGUCACGUGCUGCAGGCUCGGAACGAGGUCUGGUGGGCGGGGCCUGUUGCCAUGGCUGCAGCUGGGCGGCUGUUGUUGUUUGGCGCUGGAAUUAGAAAGUGCUGAGACUGCAGUGGAGCCAGAACCGAUUCUGGAACAGCGUCUCCCGCCCCCGGGCCAGAGAGGGUUCCCCAGCCCCUGGAAAGCCAGGACACCCCCAAGGCUGUCCCAGCACGCCUCAGCCCCGGGUCCUGAGCCAAGAUCUCUGUGCUGCCUGUGACUCCAGACUGAGGGCCAAACCUAGACCACUCCCUCCACGCUCAGUUGGCGGUAAUUGUCAGGGUGACCUCCCAGACCGCAGUCUCCUCCAGCCCACAGAACAACCACUGGCCGAACUGCCUGACCCAGGAGACAGGAGCAAAACCCAGCAUAGAAAACUUGCCCACUGCUUGCAGUCGACUCCAGAAUCAAGGGAAUCAGAAGUUUGGAUGUCGUUUGUCUUUCUUCUAAUUCUUCUGGCCAAUCAAGGUCCCAGCAAGCCGCUGACAGAGAGGGUGAGAGAAGGGAAAAAGGCAAGAUUUAUCUAGGCCUUUGAUGUACCAGGAGCGUCUAGAGUGUUCUCAUCUACGGUAUCUCAUUUUAUCCUGUCUACCUCCCUGUGAACUAGAGCUUUUUAUGCCCAUUUUGACACCUGAAGAAACCAAGGCUCCAGCAAUUAAGUAACUUGCCCGAGGAUGGAGUACAGAGCCAGGCUUCCAAUCCAGGGGUCAGUUUUCAGAGCUUUUGCCCUUCCUGCAUCCUGGGACGAAGUGGAAUACAACAGAAAACCUCUACUGGGAUCACAUGGCAAGUUUACUUCUCUCCGGGGAGACUCUAGCCCUUUUUCCCCAACCUACGAAAAAGAAAAGGCCGAGGGGAGACUGAAGAUCUUUUGUGAGAUCUGCUAGAACUUCAUGAAAAGGUGCUGACACCACAAAGCAAGAACUUGGAUCCCGUCCCUGCCUCCUGGGAUUAACCUAUAUUUCCUCAUUGGCCUGAGAUCCAAGAGACAAAGAGAGACAUGCCCCAGAGCACAGGCAGCAGAAAAGUUCGGGCGAGUUCUGGGAGACUCUGACCUGCCCCAGGCUAGGGAGGGCACUACCUGGAGAGUUCUGCCAGAUUCUUCUGAAGCUGUCACUUGGGCCUGGCCCCUCCUCCUUCCCCUCUCUCCUCCCCCACGUCUGACCCUGCAGAGAGGCACGUCCAGCACGAAUUCCUCCAAACCUCAGAUGCCUUUAGGAUUUUAAUGUGUCUAAAGAGUUCCCUUCCUUGACAAGCGGCAGCAUUAGUCAAGUUGAGUGGGUGGGAAGGGCAUUUCCCGUCAAUCCAGGGCCCCGGAGGAAGGGGAGACCCUCCUCCCUCCCAGCCUUGGCAAGCAGCUCCUGCAGAGAUCCACGUGGGUGGCAGUUGAGUCCAGAGGAGCCAAAGGGUUGCUUGCUGGGCAGGAAUGCCCACAGGCCGCACCUUCCUCAGCCCUCCUAGCACCUCAUCCUGUCUGGACCCGUGGAGGGGGUGGCGGUGCCAGGGAGUGGGUUCUCCUGUGUCUGACUCCAACAACCGGUUUAUUGUGAUGA